RNAcentral lists this ribosomal RNA (450 nucleotides) under uncultured bacterium. Its description in RNAcentral is "partial 16S ribosomal RNA". It matches the Rfam family "Bacterial small subunit ribosomal RNA", at positions 354 to 796 of the family's 1533-position model. The record is from RNAcentral.
GUGGGGAAUUUUGGACAAUGGGCGAAAGCCUGAUCCAGCAAUGCCGCGUGCAGGAUGAAGGCCCUCGGGUUGUAAACUGCUUUUGUACGAAACGAAAAGCCUGGGGCUAAUAUCCCCGGGUCAUGACGGUACCGUAAGAAUAAGCACCGGCUAACUACGUGCCAGCAGCCGCGGUAAUACGUAGGGUGCAAGCGUUAAUCGGAAUUACUGGGCGUAAAGCGUGCGCAGGCGGUUUUGUAAGACAGUGGUGAAAUCCCCGGGCUCAACCUGGGAACUGCCAUUGUGACUGCAAGGCUAGAGUGCGGCAGAGGGGGAUGGAAUUCCGCGUGUAGCAGUGAAAUGCGUAGAUAUGCGGAGGAACACCGAUGGCGAAGGCAAUCCCCUGGGCCUGCACUGACGCUCAUGCACGAAAGCGUGGGGAGCAAACAGGAUUAGAAACCCUUGUAGUCC